AAACAAACAGAAAUAGAGAGAGAAAGGUAAGAGGAUUGAGAGAUAGAGAGGAGCAGGGAGCAAGAGAAGAAGCUGAGAGCUCGGAAAGCACACAGGAGAGGAAGAGCGGGUGAGUAGGGAAGAAAUAAGAAGAGGUUCGGGGAAGGUGGGAGCAAGGCCUGACAGUUAGUAUAUGUGAGGAACUAGGGAACCCAAUUUAGUUGCGGACAUCUUUAGGGACCGAGGAGACUGAAUUCCGGCAUUUGAAAGGCUUGAUUCGAUGGACUAUAUCUUGGAGUUAGACAAGCUUUCAAAUUACGUGGAGGAAUCACUUUUUGACAUCGGGGAUCAGCUCGAAGAAUUAGGUAGGAACCUUAGUUAUUGGAUAGAUAUUCUUUUUGUAUAGAAUGGAUUUGAAAAUGUUACGACCUGAAAAUUUUGUUUGGUUGUAUCACUGACGUGGGUGCGGAAAAGUAAUCUCCGGAGAUGUGUAUAUACAUAUUAGAGUUUGUUGGAUUGGUUAUAUACUUUGGAAAUUUAUUGGGAUGCAGGUUUUUACGUGAAUAGUUUUAUGU
Punica granatum (pomegranate) is the source of this 554-nucleotide non-coding RNA. Lineage: Eukaryota; Viridiplantae; Streptophyta; Magnoliopsida; Myrtales; Lythraceae. The record is from RefSeq and is a predicted model, not a curated record.